Non-coding RNA from Trichobilharzia regenti, 45 nucleotides. NCBI's taxonomy places the organism in Eukaryota, Metazoa, Platyhelminthes, Trematoda, Strigeidida, Schistosomatidae. The record is from Rfam.
AUCCAGUUGAUGAGUCCCAAUUAGGACGAAAUACGCAUUCUGGAU